This is a long non-coding RNA of Diceros bicornis minor, 665 nucleotides long. RefSeq lists it as uncharacterized. The transcript is spliced from 3 exons. The record is from RefSeq and is a predicted model, not a curated record. NCBI's taxonomy places the organism in Eukaryota, Metazoa, Chordata, Mammalia, Perissodactyla, Rhinocerotidae.
CCUGGCCCAAGGCCCCCACCCCCACCCUGUGCAGGCACUCUUGUAGAGGUGGAUGCACGGGAAGGAGGCCAGGCCCCUCGGGUCAAAAUGCAAUGAUCCAGGUGUCCUGGGCCAGUCGAGGGGCCCUGGGUGCCUGCUCUGUCCUGCUGCUGACAAAUCCCCACUUCCCCAGGUCCUGGAAGGCCAGGUGUGCUCCCUUCCCAGGAAGAGGCUCCGGAGUUUUCCUGCCUUAACUCAGUCAUUCAAACACCCUCCCUGAUACGUCCUGGGAACCGAGGUAACUCUGGAGGCAGGGAGGCCAGGGAGCAGGCUACUGGAGAGGUCCAGCUUGAGAGAAGCUGGGGCCUGAGCUUGCUAGACUACAUUUCCCAGCUUCCCUUGCAGUUAGAUGUGGCCAUGUGACUGAAUUCUAACCAAUGGAAUUUGAGAGGAAAUGAUGUCAUCACCUCCUGGACUGGCUGCUAUACCAAUGGCUGCUCUCCAUGCUCUUUCUCCUUCUGCUGGCUUGAUGCAGACCAGUGUGGUGACCUUGGAACCAUGUUGAAGAUGGCAGAGCCACAAAACGGAAGGAGCCUGGGUCUCAGCAUCACCACUCCACCAUGUAGAACACCUGCUUCAGAAUUUCCGUGACCAAGAAAUAAACUUCUAUGAUGCUUAAGUCCUUA